AGCUCACCUCAACGAAGUUGGGGGAGCUUAUGUAAUACCCUCGGCGUCGGCGUCGGCGUCGGCGUCCCAGGUUAAGGUUUUUGGAGCAGUUUUCUUUUCAAGUACUUCUAUGGCCUAUAUUAGUCAGAGAUGCAUGGAGGAUGCUUCUAGUGUGUUUCAUUGUACCAGUCAAGGUCUCAGAUGCUGCAAUUUCAGCUAAAGAAUGACCAGGUUAAUGUUUUUGGAGCAGGUUAAAGUUUUUGGAGCAGGUCUCAUUUCCAAUUAACUAUAAGCCCUAUAUUGACUGAACUUGCAUGGAUGAUACAUCUAAGGAUGCACACUACUGAACUUGCUUCGGAUGCUGGAUCUGACCUACAUUUUCCGGAUGAGUGACUAGCCUAAGGUUUUUGGAGUAGAUCUCAUUUCCAAGUAACUAUAAGCCCUAUAUUGACCAAACUUGCAUGGAUGAUACAUCUAAGGAUGCACACUACUGGACUUGCUUCGGAUGCUAGAUCUGACCUAUAUUUUCCGGAUGAGUGACCAGGUUAAGGUUUUUGGAGCAGAUCUCAUUUCCAAGUAACUAAAAGCCCUAUAUUGACCAAACUUGCAUGGAUGAUACAUAUAAGGAUGUACACUAGUGGACUUGUUUCGGAUGCUGGAUCUGACCUAUAUUUUCUGGAUGAGUGACCAGGUUAAAGUUUUUGAAGCAGAUGUCAUAUCCAAGUAACUAUAAACCCUAUAUUGACCAAACUUGCAUGGAUGAUACAUCUAAGGAUUCACACUAGUGGACUUGCUUCAGAUGCUGGAUCUGACCUACAUUUUCCGGAUGAGUGACCAGAUUAAAGUUUUUGGAGCAGAUCUCAUCUCCAAGUAACUAUAAGGCCUAUCUGAACCAAACUUGCACGGAUGAUGCAUCAAGGGAUGAACAAUCUCAAAACUUGCUUCGGAUGCUGGAUUUGACUUACAUUUUCUGAAUGAGUGACUAGUUUUAAGUUUUCGAUAAGUCUAUUCCCAAGUAACUGCAAGCCCUAUUAGACCAAAAUUGCAUAAAUGUUGCAUCUAGGGAUGCACACUCCUAGAUUAUUAGUUUAGUGUGGGACUUUGCCUUACUUAAAGACAACAUUCGUUGAGGUGAGCUUUGUAAUCUCUGAUUACCUAUGUUUUUUUUUUUUUUAUCAGAUCAACCUAAAAAUUGCAUUCUGAUGUAAUUUUCUCAAAUUUUGGUUGCCCAUCCUUUUAAGUUUUGCCAAAAAGUGUUCGCACUUAAUGACACACAAUUUAUAUUUUUCUAUCAUAUUUUUAGGUCACCUGAGUUUACUCAGGUGAGCUAUUGCUAUCUGUUUUCGUCCGUCGUCGUGCGUCGUCCGUCGUGCGUUAACAUUUGAACAUUUUCAGCUUCUUCUCUGGAACCACUGAACCAAUUUCAACCAAAUUUGGCACAUAGCAUCUAGAUGUGAAGGGGAGUAAAAAUUGUGAAAUUCAUGACCCCUACCCCCCUGGGGCCUGAGGGGUGGGGCUAAAACCAUCAGAAUUAAUGCAAUCUUUAAAAAUCUUCUUCUUUACUCCUGGGCAUCAAGCAGGCAAACUGUUGGCAUGAAUGUAAUAAGCAUUGAGACCUCUACCUAAAUUGUGAAAUUUAUGGCCCCAGGGUCAGGGGUUCUGGUGCUAGGGUGGGGCUCUGUUGAAUAUGUAGUGAAAAGCAUUAUUCUUAAAAAAUCUUCUCCUCUGCUCUUUAGUAUUUAGAAAACAAACAAUAUGCAUAGUUAUGAUGAGGAAAGGUGUCUCUUCUAUAAUUGUGAAUUUCAUGGCCCCUGGGUCAGGGGUUCUGGUGUUAGGGCGGGUAUCUAAUGAUUAUAUAGUGAAAAUGCAUUAAUUAUUCAAAAAUCUUCUCCUCUGCUCCUGGGUAUUAAGCCGAUGAACUAAGUACAUAGUUAUGAUGAGAAAGAGUGCCUCUUCCAAAAUUGUGAAUUUCAUGGCCCAGGGGUCAGGGGUUCUGGUGUUAGGGUGGGGCUCUGUUGAAUAUAUAGUGAUAAUGCAUUAUUUCUUUAAAAAGCUUCUUCUGUGCUUUUGGAUAUUAUGAAAACAAAAUAAAUAAAUAGUUAUGAUGAUGAAAGGUGCCUCUUCCAAAAUUGUGAAUUUCAUGGCCCCAGGGUCAGAGGUUCUGGUGUUAGGGCAGCGUUCUGUUGAAUAUACAUGUAUAGUGAAAAUGCAUUAUUUCUUUUAAAAAUCUUCUCUGAUCCAGGGCAAACAAACUGAAGGCAUAGUUAUGAUGAAUAAGGGUGCCUAUUCCUAUCUUGUGAAUUUCAUGCCCCCCUGGUCAGGGGUUCUGGUUUUAGGGUGGGGCUCUAAUGAUUACAUAGUAAAAAUGCAAUAAUUCUUUGACAAUCUUCUCCUUUUCUCCUGGGUAAUAAUCCAAUGAACUACGAGUAUAGUUAUGAUAUGUAAGGGUGCCUGUUCCAAAAUUGUGAAAUUCAUGGCCCCUAGGUCAGGGGUUCUGGUGUUAGGGUGGGGCUCUGUUGAAUAUAUAGUGAUAAUGCAUUAUUUCUUUAAAAAUCUUUUUCUUUGAUCCUGGGUAUUUAACAAACAAACUGAUGCAUAGUUAUGAUGAGUAAAGGUGCCUCUUCCAAAAUUAUGAAUUUCAUGGCCCCUGGAUCAGGGGUUCUUGUGUUAGGGUGGGGCUCUAAUGAUUACAUAGUAAAAAUGCAAUAAUUCUUUGAAAAUCUUCUUCUUUUCUCCUGGGUAUUAAGCUGAUGAACUAAGAGUAUUGUUAUGAUAUGUAAGGAUGCCUCUUCCAAAAUUGUGAAUUUUAUGGCCCAUGCAUCAUGGUUCUGGUGUUAGGGCAGAGCUCUAAUGAUUACAUAGUGAAAAUGCAUUAAUUCUUUGAUAAUCCUCUGCUCUCUUUCUGGGUAUUAAGUAAGCUUACUAAAUGUAAAAUUAUGAUGAGCAAGUGUGCCUCUUUCAAAAUUGUGAAUUUCAUGGCCUCUGGUUUAAAACAUGAAUCCAUUGUGGCGAAGUUAUUGCAUGAUACUCAGGUGACCUAUAAGGCCCGUGGGCCUCUUGUUAAUGUAUUAAUCUGGGUAAUUUAUUCAAGUCUUUACAAUUAUUAUUUUUUUCAACAGUGUGUGCAAUAUUAUUUUUUUAAUCGGCUUAAGAGGAAAUCAUUAACAACAAUGCUGUGGAAAUUUGAUGCUUUGUAAUUAAGGAAAUCCUCUUAUCCAUAGACCUAUAAUGAGUAAGAAAUCAUUAUAUAUCUGUAAAUGUACACGUCUCCUAUCUUUAUUUAUUAUUCUAGUCAUUAUCCUUUUCUGUCCACGUAAUAUUCCUAAUUAAUCUGAUGAAGACUCUAAUAUUUAGAGGAGGUGAUUACUUUGAAGAUGUUAUUAAGAUGGGAUAAAGCUAAGUACACAGGUACUCACAGGGUCUACAUGUUUGUACAGUGGAUUGUUUCAUCAGUGGAAAGUCAAACUUUCUGUGAAUUUUUUUUUUUUAAUUUUAUUUAUAUUAUUUAUUUUUGUUACUGUUUAAAUACAUGCUGUUAUACAUUUUAUGUGUUUGCUUUUAAAUCGUUCAGUUCAUUAAACAAAUAAAUUUUUA
Long non-coding RNA from Saccostrea echinata, 3573 nucleotides. RefSeq lists it as uncharacterized. The transcript is spliced from 2 exons. The record is from RefSeq and is a predicted model, not a curated record. NCBI's taxonomy places the organism in Eukaryota, Metazoa, Mollusca, Bivalvia, Ostreida, Ostreidae.